AUCGCUUCUCGGCCUUUUGGCUAAGAUCAAGUGUAAACAUACAAGAAGAUUUUUUUUACAAGAAGAUUUUAAUUGAAAUGAGGUGUGAUAUUCAUACAUAGUCCUAGAAUUGGACAUAUCUAGGAGACAAAAUUAAGU
RNAcentral lists this small nuclear RNA (138 nucleotides) under Canis lupus familiaris (dog). RNAcentral's name for it is "U2 spliceosomal RNA (multiple genes)". It matches the Rfam family "U2 spliceosomal RNA". Rfam says of the family: U2 is a small nuclear RNA (snRNA) component of the spliceosome (involved in pre-mRNA splicing). Complementary binding between U2 snRNA (in an area lying towards the 5' end but 3' to hairpin I) and the branchpoint sequence (BPS) of the intron results the bulging out of an unpaired adenosine, on the BPS, which initiates a nucleophilic attack at the intronic 5' splice site, thus starting the first of two transesterification reactions that mediate splicing. The record is from RNAcentral. Lineage: Eukaryota; Metazoa; Chordata; Mammalia; Carnivora; Canidae.